GGAUAUGUGCCCGAAAAUUAAGGGUCACUUUGAUAGAGUGAAAUACAAGAACUAAACCUCUUCAUAUCUU
RNAcentral lists this transfer RNA (70 nucleotides) under Siphonops annulatus. RNAcentral's name for it is "tRNA-Ile". Lineage: Eukaryota; Metazoa; Chordata; Amphibia; Gymnophiona; Siphonopidae. The record is from RNAcentral.